GACACGGUCCAAACUCCUACGGGAGGCAGCAGUGAGGAAUAUUGGUCAAUGGACGUAAGUCUGAACCAGCCAAGUCGCGUGAGGGAAGACUGCCCUAUGGGUUGUAAACCUCUUUUAUAAGGGAAGAAUAAGUUCUACGUGUAGAAUGAUGCCUGUACCUUAUGAAUAAGCAUCGGCUAACUCCGUGCCAGCAGCCGCGGUAAUACGGAGGAUGCGAGCGUUAUCCGGAUUUAUUGGGUUUAAAGGGUGCGUAGGCGGUUUAUUAAGUUAGUGGUUAAAUAUUUGAGCUAAACUCAAUUGUGCCAUUAAUACUGGUAAACUGGAGUACAGACGAGGUAGGCGGAAUAAGUUAAGUAGCGGUGAAAUGCAUAGAUAUAACUUAGAACUCCGAUAGCGAAGGCAGCUUACCAGACUGUAACUGACGCUGAUGCACGAGAGCGUGGGUAGCGAACAGGAUUAGAUACCCUGGUAGUCCACGCCGUAAACGAUGCUCACUGGUUCUGUGCGAUAUAUUGUACGGGAUUAAGCGAAAGUAUUAAGUGAGCCACCUGGGGAGUACGUCGGCAACGAUGAAACUCAAAGGAAUUGACGGGGGCCCGCACAAGCGGAGGAACAUGUGGUUUAAUUCGAUGAUACGCGAGGAACCUUACCUGGGUUUAAAUGGGAAAUGCCGUAUUUGGAAACAGAUAUUCUCUUCGGAGCGUUUUUCAAGGUGCUGCAUGGUUGUCGUCAGCUCGUGCCGUGAGGUGUCGGGUUAAGUCCCAUAACGAGCGCAACCCUUACCGUUAGUUGCUAGCAUGUAAUGAUGAGCACUCUAACGGGACUGCCACCGUAAGGUGAGAGGAAGGCGGGGAUGACGUCAAAUCAGCACGGCCCUUACACCCAGGGCUACACACGUGUUACAAUGGCCGGUACAGAGGGCCGCUACCAGGUGACUGGAUGCCAAUCUCAAAAGCCGGUCGUAGUUCGGAUUGGAGUCUGUAACCCGACUCCAUGAAGUUGGAUUCGCUAGUAAUCGCGCAUCAGCCAUGGCGCGGUGAAUACGUUCCCGGGCCUUGUACACACCGCCCGUCAAGCCAUGGAAGCCGGGGGUGCCUGAAGUCCGUAACCGCGAGGAUCGGCCUAGGGCAAAACUGGUAACUGGGGCUAAGUCGUAACAAGGUAGCCGUACCGGAAGGUGCGGCUG
RNAcentral lists this ribosomal RNA (1186 nucleotides) under gut metagenome. Its description in RNAcentral is "bacterial SSU rRNA". It matches the Rfam family "Bacterial small subunit ribosomal RNA", at positions 323 to 1520 of the family's 1533-position model. The record is from RNAcentral.